This 950-nucleotide long non-coding RNA is filed under the name Vitis vinifera (wine grape). RNAcentral describes it as "long non-coding RNA (VVIN_LNC001198)". The record is from RNAcentral. Lineage: Eukaryota; Viridiplantae; Streptophyta; Magnoliopsida; Vitales; Vitaceae.
CUCCCUAGAAGCAACAUUAUUUUUCCUUUCUCCUGAAGAAUAUUUAUCAUGCUUCGACUUCUCCCUAUUCUUGAUUCUUUCCAGAUUGUCAUUUUCUCCAGAUUUCAGGUCAGACAGGCCACUGGAUGUUUGCUCUUUGUAUUUCAGGUCCUUGUGGUGUCUCUUGUCUCUUGGUUUCUCCCUGUCACCUGAUUCAUCAUCCAAAUCCUGCUGUGUUUUAUCAUAAUUUGACCUCUCCUUGUGCUUGAGGUCCUGGUGCUGUCUCUUGUCUCUUGGUCUCUCCCUGUCACCUGAUUCAUUGUCCAAGUCUUGCUGUGUUUUAUCAUAAUUUGACCUCUCCUUGUGCUUCAGGUCCUGGUGCUGUCUCUUGUCUCUUGGUCUCUCCCUGUCACCUGAUUCAUCGUCCCAAUCUUGCUGUGUUUUAUCAUAAUUUGACCUCUCCUUGUGCUUCAGGUCCUGGUGCUGUCUCUUGUCUCUUGGUCUCUCCCUGUCACCUGAUUCAUCGUCCGAAUCUUGCUGUGUUUUAUCAUAAUUUGACCUCUCCUUGUGCUUCAGGUCCUUGUGGUGUCUCUUGUCUCUUGGUCUCUCCCUGUCACCUGAUUCAUCAUCCAAAUCUUGCUGCGUUUUAUCAUAAUUUGACCUCUCCUUGUGCUUCAGGUCCUUGUGGUGUCUCUUGUCUCUUGGUCUCUCCCUGUCACCUGAUUCAUUGUCCAAAUCUUGCUGUGUUUUAUCAUAAUUUGACCUCUCCUUGUGAUUCAGUUCCUUGUGGUGUUUCUUCCUUUUUAAUCUUCCCCUUUCACCUGAUUCAUCUUCUGAAUCUGUUGGUGCUUUUUCCUCAUAAUUUGACCUCUUAUGGCUACCAUCCUUUCUUCUUUCUUCUUCAGGAGUGACAUUUUCAGAUUGGUGUCUCGAUGAAGAAUGCGUGUGAUGCUUUGAACUCUUGUGAUGAA